Molecule: ribosomal RNA, 132 nt
Filed under: Pseudomonas aeruginosa
Lineage: Bacteria; Pseudomonadati; Pseudomonadota; Gammaproteobacteria; Pseudomonadales; Pseudomonadaceae
Description: partial 16S ribosomal RNA
Rfam family: Bacterial small subunit ribosomal RNA
Source: RNAcentral
GAACUGAAGAGUUUGAUCAUGGCUCAGAUUGAACGCUGGCGGCAGGCCUAACACAUGCAAGUCGAGCGGAUGAAGGGAGCUUGCUCCUGAAUUCAGCGGCGGACGGGUGAGUAAUGCCUAGGAAUCUGCCUG